GGAGGAGUACCCAAGUGGUCUAAGGGGGCGGUUUGCUAAACCGUUAGUGGCGAAAGCCAGCGUGGGUUCAAAUCCCACCUCCUCCG
RNAcentral lists this transfer RNA (86 nucleotides) under candidate division WOR-1 bacterium RIFCSPHIGHO2_01_FULL_53_15. Its description in RNAcentral is "tRNA-Ser". It matches the Rfam family "tRNA". Rfam says of the family: Transfer RNA (tRNA) molecules are approximately 80 nucleotides in length. Lineage: Bacteria; Bacillati. The record is from RNAcentral. RNAcentral also lists the same sequence under 1 other name.